AUACUACUCCCUCCGUCCGGAAAUACUUGUUCUAGAAAUAGAUAUAAUGGAUGUAUAGGACAAGUAUUUCCGGACGGAGGGAGUAUUAU
This 89-nucleotide microRNA precursor is filed under the name Hordeum vulgare. RNAcentral describes it as "microRNA MIR1122". It matches the Rfam family "MIR1120/MIR1122 microRNA precursor family". The record is from RNAcentral. Lineage: Eukaryota; Viridiplantae; Streptophyta; Magnoliopsida; Poales; Poaceae.